This 372-nucleotide ribosomal RNA is filed under the name uncultured organism. RNAcentral's name for it is "bacterial SSU rRNA". It matches the Rfam family "Bacterial small subunit ribosomal RNA", at positions 526 to 896 of the family's 1533-position model. The record is from RNAcentral.
CGUAGGUGGCAAGCGUUGUCCGGAAUUAUUGGGCGUAAAGCGCGCGCAGGCGGUCCUUUAAGUCUGAUGUGAAAGCCCACGGCUCAACCGUGGAGGGUCAUUGGAAACUGGGGGACUUGAGUACAGAAGAGAAGAGUGGAAUUCCACGUGUAGCGGUGAAAUGCGUAGAGAUGUGGAGGAACACCAGUGGCGAAGGCGACUCUUUGGUCUGUAACUGACGCUGAGGCGCGAAAGCGUGGGGAGCAAACAGGAUUAGAUACCCUGGUAGUCCACGCCGUAAACGAUGAGUGCUAAGUGUUAGAGGGUUUCCGCCCUUUAGUGCUGCAGCAAACGCAUUAAGCACUCCGCCUGGGGAGUACGGCCGCAGGGCUG